Long non-coding RNA from Lepus europaeus (European hare), 664 nucleotides. RefSeq lists it as uncharacterized. The transcript is spliced from 4 exons. Lineage: Eukaryota; Metazoa; Chordata; Mammalia; Lagomorpha; Leporidae. The record is from RefSeq and is a predicted model, not a curated record.
CGAGCCCCUGCAACCGGGACGCCCGGCGCGCUUCUGCCGCUCAUGGUGCCUCGGCGAGCAGCGCCCGGAAGGCGGCGGUGGCACAGGAGCGAGGGUUCGGACUUGUCCCGGGAUCGCCGUUAUCCGGUGCAGCGUGCUUGGGGGACGGGGAAAGAAGAGAGAAUGCUACACUGGGUGCUAUGGAAGAUACAAAGACAAAUGAGAUAGUGACAAGAGACUCUUGUUAAAAUUUUGAAAACACAUCCUUGAGUCCUCCUGCAGAAAUCCUCGUUUUUCGUCCCAAGUAUCCUGCUUUGUUCAGAUGCGUGGCUUCUUCCUCAGCUGGCAUGGGUUCUGGCCAUUCAUCCGCGGGCCACUGUCCUUUGAGCAAGCUUUGCCUGCGUCUUGCUGAGAGCACAGAGCUCCUGUCACACUUGGAUUUGAUAAACAAGCUACUUCUGGCCUCGUUGAAGUUAUUAAUAAACACUCUUCAUGACAGAAAGCUGUGGGAAGAUCUACUAAAGACCUCCCUCUGAAAUACAUUGGUUGUCACCCCCUAGUCCAGUUUUCACCUUGUCACACAUCCGCCACCUGUCUAACUGUUCAGCCCAUGCUCCCCCAUCUUGCUAAUAGAAACCCCACGAGAAAUGUGUUAAAAUCUGCCUUCUUGAAAUAAAAUCUUGAA